Molecule: ribosomal RNA, 460 nt
Filed under: uncultured bacterium
Lineage: Bacteria
Description: partial 16S ribosomal RNA
Rfam family: Bacterial small subunit ribosomal RNA
Source: RNAcentral
CCUACGGGUGGCAGCAGUGAGGAAUAUUGGUCAAUGGGCGGAAGCCUGAACCAGCCAAGCCGCGUGAGGGAUGAAGGUUCUAUGGAUUGUAAACCUCUUUUAUAAGGGAAUAAAGUGCGGGACGUGUCCCGUUUUGUAUGUACCUUAUGAAUAAGGAUCGGCUAACUCCGUGCCAGCAGCCGCGGUAAUACGGAGGAUCCGAGCGUUAUCCGGAUUUAUUGGGUUUAAAGGGUGCGUAGGCGGCCUUUUAAGUCAGCGGUGAAAGUCUGUGGCUCAACCAUAGAAGUGCCGUUGAAACUGGGUGGCUUGAGUAUGUUUGAGGCAGGCGGAAUGCGUGGUGUAGCGGUGAAAUGCUUAGAUAUCACGCAGAACCCCGAUUGCGAAGGCAGCCUGCCAAGCCAUGACUGACGCUGAUGCACGAAAGCGUGGGGAUCAAACAGGAUUAGAUACCCGGGUAGUC